Molecule: ribosomal RNA, 770 nt
Filed under: uncultured Vagococcus sp.
Lineage: Bacteria; Bacillati; Bacillota; Bacilli; Lactobacillales; Enterococcaceae
Description: bacterial SSU rRNA
Rfam family: Bacterial small subunit ribosomal RNA
Source: RNAcentral
GACGAACGCUGGCGGCGUGCCUAAUACAUGCAAGUCGAACGCACGAGGUUGAAGAGCUUGCUCUUUAACCAAGUGAGUGGCGGACGGGUGAGUAACACGUGGGUAACCUGCCCAUUAGAGGGGGAUAACAUUCGGAAACGGAUGCUAAUACCGCAUAGUUUCAGGAAUCGCAUGAUUCUUGAAGGAAAGGUGGCUUCGGCUACCACUAAUGGAUGGACCCGCGGCGUAUUAGCUAGUUGGUGAGGUAAUGGCUCACCAAGGCAAUGAUACGUAGCCGACCUGAGAGGGUGAUCGGCCACACUGGGACUGAGACACGGCCCAGACUCCUACGGGAGGCAGCAGUAGGGAAUCUUCCGCAAUGGACGAAAGUCUGACGGAGCAACGCCGCGUGAGUGAAGAAGGUUUUCGGAUCGUAAAACUCUGUUGUUAAAGAAGAACAAGGAUGAGAGUAACUGCUCAUCCCCUGACGGUAUUUAACCAGAAAGCCACGGCUAACUACGUGCCAGCAGCCGCGGUAAUACGUAGGUGGCAAGCGUUGUCCGGAUUUAUUGGGCGUAAAGCGAGCGCAGGCGGUUCUUUAAGUCUGAUGUGAAAGCCCCCGGCUCAACCGGGGAGGGUCAUUGGAAACUGGAGAACUUGAGUGCAGAAGAGGAGAGUGGAAUUCCACGUGUAGCGGUGAAAUGCGUAGAUAUGUGGAGGAACACCAGUGGCGAAGCGACUCUCUGGUCUGUAACUGACGCUGAGGCUCGAAAGCGUGGGGAGCAAACAGG